RNAcentral lists this ribosomal RNA (697 nucleotides) under uncultured bacterium. RNAcentral describes it as "bacterial SSU rRNA". It matches the Rfam family "Bacterial small subunit ribosomal RNA", at positions 32 to 715 of the family's 1533-position model. The record is from RNAcentral.
AACGCUAGCUACAGGCUUAACACAUGCAAGUCGAGGGGCAGCAUGGAACUUAGCUUGCUAAGUUUCGAUGGCGACCGGCGCACGGGUGAGUAACACGUAUCCAACCUACCGUUUACUACGGGAUAGCCUUCUGAAAAGGAGAUUAAUACCGUAUGGCAUUCUAAAGUUUCAUGACAUUAGAAUUAAAGGUUUACCGGUAAUCGAUGGGGAUGCGUUCCAUUAGGCAGUUGGCGGGGUAACGGCCCACCAAACCAACGAUGGAUAGGGGUUCUGAGAGGAAGGUCCCCCACAUUGGAACUGAGACACGGUCCAAACUCCUACGGGAGGCAGCAGUGAGGAAUAUUGGUCAAUGGGCGAGAGCCUGAACCAGCCAAGUAGCGUGGAGGAUGACGGCCCUACGGGUUGUAAACUUCUUUUGUGCGGGAAUAAAGGAGCCUACGUGUAGGCUUUUGCAUGUACCGUAACGAAUAAGCAUCGGCUAACUCCGUGCCAGCAGCCGCGGUAAUACGGAGGAUGCGAGCGUUAUCCGGAUUUAUUGGGUUUAAAGGGAGCGUAGACGGGUUUUUAAGUCAGCUGUGAAAGUUUGGGGCUCAACCUUAAAAUUGCAGUUGAAACUGGAGACCUUGAGUACGGUUGAGGCAGGCGGAAUUCGUGGUGUAGCGGUGAAAUGCUUAGAUAUCACGAAGAACUCCGAUUG